AACGAACGUUGGCGGCGUGGAUGAGGCAUGCAAGUCGAACGUGAAAGCCGCAAGGCGAGUAAAGUGGCGGACGGGCGAGUAACACGUAAUCAAGCUACCUGCGAGACGGGAAUAACCUCGGGAAACCGAGGCUAAGACCCGAUGGUCUCCGAGAACCGCAUGGUUCAUGGAGUAAAUGGACGGGAUCCUUCGGGACCGCCUGCUCGCAGAGGUGAUUGCGGCCUAUCAGCAGUUGGCGGGGUAAUGGCCCACCAAGGCAACGACGGGUAGCCGGCCUUAGAGGGUGGUCGGCCGCACUGGGACUGAGACACUGCCCAGACUCCUACGGGAGGCUGCAGUCGAGAAUCUUCCGCAAUGGGCGAAAGCCUGACGGAGCGACGCCGCGUGGAGGAUGAAGGCCUGGUGUAA
RNAcentral lists this ribosomal RNA (408 nucleotides) under uncultured bacterium. Its description in RNAcentral is "bacterial SSU rRNA". It matches the Rfam family "Bacterial small subunit ribosomal RNA", at positions 29 to 428 of the family's 1533-position model. The record is from RNAcentral.